Molecule: non-coding RNA, 125 nt
Organism: Hordeum vulgare subsp. vulgare (domesticated barley)
Lineage: Eukaryota; Viridiplantae; Streptophyta; Magnoliopsida; Poales; Poaceae
Source: Rfam
AAUAUCCUCCCUUCGUCCGGAAUUACUUGUCGCACAAAUGAAUAAAAACGGAUGCAUUUAGAACUAAAAUACGUUCAGAUACAUCCAUUUCUCCGACAAGUAUUUUCGAGCGGAGGGAGUCUAUG